Long non-coding RNA from Oncorhynchus kisutch (coho salmon), 315 nucleotides. RefSeq lists it as uncharacterized. The transcript has 3 exons. Lineage: Eukaryota; Metazoa; Chordata; Actinopteri; Salmoniformes; Salmonidae. The record is from RefSeq and is a predicted model, not a curated record.
GGAAAGUCCUUCAAACUUUGUCCUUGUUCACGCUCAUAAGAGCUGAACGGUGAGAUACAUCACACUCAUAAUAACCCACUGGAUAACAACAACGCUGAAAUCAACAAGGUUACGACCCUGUGCCUGUGAUUACUAGGGUGAACAGGUUACCGCAGCAGGAUAACAUCUCGUUGCUAGGCAUCGCUGUAGGGAUGGCGAGAUCAACCUUUACCAGAGUGCUGGAGUACCCAGUGGCGAUCCGUCAUUCAGGGAAGGCACAGCAGUGCCCCACGUGCUUUGAGCCCCAUCUGUUUAGACAAAAUAUAUAUUUAUUUA